Molecule: transfer RNA, 73 nt
Filed under: Stegodyphus mimosarum
Lineage: Eukaryota; Metazoa; Arthropoda; Arachnida; Araneae; Eresidae
Rfam family: tRNA
About the family: Transfer RNA (tRNA) molecules are approximately 80 nucleotides in length. Their secondary structure includes four short double-helical elements and three loops (D, anti-codon, and T loops). Further hydrogen bonds mediate the characteristic L-shaped molecular structure. tRNAs have two regions of fundamental functional importance: the anti-codon, which is responsible for specific mRNA codon recognition, and the 3' end, to which the tRNAs corresponding amino acid is attached (by aminoacyl-tRNA synthetases). tRNAs cope with the degeneracy of the genetic code in two manners: having more than one tRNA (with a specific anti-codon) for a particular amino acid; and 'wobble' base-pairing, i.e. permitting non-standard base-pairing at the 3rd anti-codon position.
Source: Rfam by way of RNAcentral
GCCUUAAUGGUGGAGUGGUCAGCACGCUCGACGCGUAAUCGAGAGGUCCGUGGUUCGAUUCCCGGUGAAGGCG